RNAcentral lists this ribosomal RNA (253 nucleotides) under uncultured bacterium. RNAcentral describes it as "partial 16S ribosomal RNA". It matches the Rfam family "Bacterial small subunit ribosomal RNA", at positions 524 to 776 of the family's 1533-position model. The record is from RNAcentral.
GACAGAGGUGCCAAGCGUUAGGCGGAAUCACUGGGCUUAAAGCGUGUGUAGGCGGAUUUGUAAGUACCUUGCGAAAUCCCACAGCUCAACUGUGGAACUGCUCGGUAUACUGCGAAUCUUGAGCCACUUAGGGGCUACCGGAACAAAUGGUGGAGCGGUGAAAUGCGUAGAUAUCAUUUGGAACGCCAAUGGUGAAAACAGGUAGCUGGGAGUGUGCUGACGCUGAGACACGAAAGCCAGGGGAGCGAACGGG